UGCUGUUUUUUUAAAUUCCAUUCAUUCGAGUUUCUUCUUUAACAAUUCCGCGCGAGAAUAAAAAGGUUGAAAAGUGAAACCCUUUUUUUUUUUCUUAGCCCCAAGGUCGCAAGGUGUCGUCUCAAAAGAGCUCCUUAAAUCAUGAGAACCGCGUUACCUUUCCGUAGCGCUCCCGCCCGUAAGUCGCUAAAGUCGGAGGACUUAUCCCGGAUCCUCACGACGCUCCCGCCGUGAAUAUCAAGCAGACGCCGCUCGCGCUGGGGUAGCGCUACGAAGCUUACGCUCAACAAGAGCGUGCGGCAGGCCAGACGAAGUGUGCACCCCGCCUCCUGCCCGUUGACAGCUCGGAUAGGCUCCAGCACCUCCCUGCAACCGUUGUGAGGAUAAGCGGCAAAGAAAAUGAAUGGAUGGAUGGAUGGAUUAGCCACAAGAUGAAUGCUGAGCAGUUUGGAAGGACCUGGACAACCUGUUGCGAUUGAUGGAACCGUGAAAUCUGCUCCUUAACACAAAAAAUCUUGAAGGAGAAACUUCAGCCAUCAUUUGUGGCCUCAAGGCCUCAAUUCGCAGCACCUGCCGUUGAUUAGAAGGUUUCAAGGCAGCCUGCGAGGUUGUACGAGUUUUGGCGCGUGGUGGCGGUUAGCGUAAAUAACUGGUGCUGCUCUUUUGGUUCCGAAUCAGAUGCCCCAACCACCUCAUCUGGCUCCUCUCAAUGCGGAGGAGUAGCGGCUCGACGCCGAGCCCCUCGUUAUUAUUAUUAUCUAUAUCUGAUGUAAAUCCAUCCAUCCAUUCUCUACCGCUUCCCCAGGUCAGGUCGCGGGGGAUGUAGCUUCAGCUGGGAUACCCAGACUUCCCUUUCCCCAGCCACUUCUUCCAGCUCCUCCGGAGGGAUCCCGAGGCGUUCCCAAGCCAGCCGAAAGAGUCUCUCCAGCGUGUCCUGACAAGCUCGGAACACCUCAUCAGGGAGGCGACCAGGAGGCAUCCGGAUCAGAUGCCCAAGCCACCUCAUCUGGCUCCUCUCAAUUUAGAGGAGCAGCGGCUCGACAAUGAGCCCCUCCCAGAUGACCGAGCUUCUCACCCUAUCUCUAAGGGAGAGCCCGGACACCCUACGCAGGAAACUCAUUUCGGCCGCUUGUAUCCGGUAUUUUGUUCUUUCGGUAUACCAUAAGUGAGGGUCGGAACGUAGAUCGACUGGUAAAUUGAGAGCUUCACCUUUCGACUUCGCUCCCUCUUUACCACAACGGACCGAUACAAAGUCCGCAUCACCGCAGGCGCUGCACCGAUCCGUCUGUCGAUCUCCCGCUCCAUUCUUCCCUCACUCGUGAACAAGACCCCGAGAUACUUGAACUCCUCCGCUUGGAGCAGGAUCUCAUUCCCCGACCCAGAGAGGGCAGGCCACCCUUUUCCGGCUGAGGACCAUCGUUUCGGAUUUGGAGUUAAGUAUUAGUCGUUAGAUAAUGUGCUAUUUUUACAGUUCUUGAUAUAGCUAUGUGGCGUGGCGGUAGAAUUAGCUAAAUCCACCAAAAAAUGAUGUGAACUAAAUCUUUAAUCUUGGACAAGUAAGCUGGCACUUUAAUUAAUUUGUGCCGCUAUUUACCUGCCUGCAAUUGGUUGGCAACUAGUUCAGGGUGUACCUCGGCUGUUGCCCGAAGUUAGCUGGGAUAGUCUCCAGCACUCCCGCGACCCUUCUGAGGAUAAACGGCUCAUAAAAUGGAUGGAUGGACUAUUGACCUAGCUCAGUAGGUGCUGCUGUUUUAGUUAGCAACAACAAAAUAAGACAAUGCGAAACAAACGCAUUUCAGUCUAGUGGAAUGUUAAUCACUAUUAAUACAAUACAUACUGUGAGAUUUUUUUUUUAUUUUGCAGGUAAGUUGGCACUUCAUUUGAGAUACUGUUUAUGUGCUUUGGGGUGGGCUGCUGUUUUUGUUAGCAACAGAGUAACAAAAGUGAAAGAUCUCCUGAUACAUCGCGUGAGUCCUCUGCAGAGAGCUUUUGUGUGUGUGUUUUAAUGUUUUGGGUUUUUUUUUUCCAGCUCAACAAGCUUCCACAGAGCUAAUGAAGCCUCACCACCGCCCCCACGCAACCCCGCCGCCACUCCUAUCCCCGCAUUAUUUCCGCGACCAAAAAAAAAAAAAAGAUGCCGCGUCCGCCCAUGCCUCAGCGAGCCGCGGAUGGCGAGCGCGGAACUUCUGGGCCGAGGGUCAAAAAGGGUCUACGCAAAACAUCUGCUGAUCCCACCCCCGUGUCGUGCCGCUCGCUCGCCACCGCACCGCCAUGCGGGUAAACAAACAUGGCGGAGACCUAAUUGAAUUACUUCCGUCAGCCAACAAGCAUGCGGAUCGGUGGCUCGGGCAUGUUUGCGACCGCAGUGGAGGCAAAAGUCGGCAUGCCGCGUAGAGACCUCACGUCACAGCGCAUCGUAAGAUGAACUCCACACGAUCGUUUGGGGUCUUUUGGGGGACACACAUUUUUUUUUUUUUUACAUUGACCGUUACGAAUCUUUGGAAAGAAUGAAGAUAACUUAUUUUUACACUUACAUGACUGUGAUAGUUGCUUAGUUUUUUUUAUGUAUUGAAGUAACAAUGUUACAAGUUACACUGUAGGAGCGCUUGUAUUAGUUUUACAUUUGAGUGUUUCAAAUAACAUGAUCAGCAGUUGUUACGUUAUUUUUACACU
Molecule: long non-coding RNA, 2673 nt
Organism: Syngnathoides biaculeatus (alligator pipefish)
Lineage: Eukaryota; Metazoa; Chordata; Actinopteri; Syngnathiformes; Syngnathidae
Exons: 5
Source: RefSeq, a predicted model, not a curated record